GCCCUGAUAGCUUAACCUAAAGCAUCGGUCUUGUAAGCCGAAGACUGUAGCCUGACACCUACUCAGGGCU
This 70-nucleotide transfer RNA is filed under the name Glyphoglossus yunnanensis (Yunnan squat frog). RNAcentral describes it as "tRNA-Thr". It matches the Rfam family "tRNA". From Rfam's summary of the family: Transfer RNA (tRNA) molecules are approximately 80 nucleotides in length. Their secondary structure includes four short double-helical elements and three loops (D, anti-codon, and T loops). The record is from RNAcentral. RNAcentral also lists the same sequence under 1 other name. Lineage: Eukaryota; Metazoa; Chordata; Amphibia; Anura; Microhylidae.